Molecule: non-coding RNA, 112 nt
Filed under: Heterosigma akashiwo
Lineage: Eukaryota; Raphidophyceae; Chattonellales; Chattonellaceae
Source: RNAcentral
AAAUAAAUAAGCCCCCCCAAAAAGGAUAGUAUAUAUAAAAAAUAUGAUUACACAUGCUCCACUUUUUUACUUUUUUUUCUUCGUCUCUCUCCUUUUUAUUGAUAUAUUUAUU